RNAcentral lists this non-coding RNA (29 nucleotides) under Mus musculus (house mouse). The record is from RNAcentral. Lineage: Eukaryota; Metazoa; Chordata; Mammalia; Rodentia; Muridae.
UCCGAGGACUGAUGAAACAAAGGGCAGUC